UACGUAGGUGGCAAGCGUUGUCCGGAAUUAUUGGGCGUAAAGCCCGCGCAGGUGGUUUCUUAAGUCUGAUGUGAAAGCCCACGGCUCAACCGUGGAGGGUCAUUGGAAACUGGGGAACUUGAGUGCAGAAGAGGAAAGUGGAAUUCCCGGUGUAGCAGUGAAAUGCGUAGAGAUCGGGAGGAACAUCAGUUGCGAAGGCGGCUCUCUGGACCAGGACUGACACUGAGGCACGAAAGGGUGGGGAGCAAACAGG
Molecule: ribosomal RNA, 253 nt
Filed under: uncultured bacterium
Lineage: Bacteria
Description: partial 16S ribosomal RNA
Rfam family: Bacterial small subunit ribosomal RNA
Source: RNAcentral